AUGGUUGCAUUUAGGGAUGCCUUGGAGAUUUGUGGCCUGGUAGAUCUAGACUUUGUGGGGGUUCCAUUCACUUAUGAUAACAAGAGGGGAGGAGGAGGCAAUGUCAGAGUUAGGCUGGACAGGGCAGUUGCCACUAAUACAUGGAGGAACUUGUUCUCCUAUGCAUCGGUGUUACAUGUCCCCUCACCAUGUUCGGAUCACGUAGCUCUUGUACUAAAGGGAGAGGACGAUUUGGGGCCAAAGGGAGGAAAGCAGAGAAGAUAUGAGGUGUUCUGGGAGCGGGAUACAUCGCUACCGGAGGUGGUCAGAGAGGCAUGGGAGGCAGUGGGGGAGGUGCAUAAUAUGGCACAACUGCGGGAUGCUCUGACUAAAAUGAUGAUUGCUCUACGGGUAUGGAGCAAAAAAUUUGGUAAUAUCACACGGGAGUUAGCCAAGUCGCGCACACAGCUAGAGGAGUUGAUGAAUAUAAACGCCGACCGGCAGGAUAUUUAG
Molecule: ribosomal RNA, 492 nt
Filed under: Triticum aestivum (bread wheat)
Lineage: Eukaryota; Viridiplantae; Streptophyta; Magnoliopsida; Poales; Poaceae
Description: partial small subunit ribosomal RNA
Source: RNAcentral